Long non-coding RNA from Lolium rigidum, 3359 nucleotides. RefSeq lists it as uncharacterized. Lineage: Eukaryota; Viridiplantae; Streptophyta; Magnoliopsida; Poales; Poaceae. The transcript has 3 exons. The record is from RefSeq and is a predicted model, not a curated record.
GAGCACAGCUAGGGCGCGUGGGUGCUGUACCACGAGCAACUGAUGUGUCGGGAGCGCGCCGCGGCGUCCUUCUUCGUGCGCGAGGGUGCUGGCCAUUGGACCCGUGCUCAAAGGUUCGCGACCGCCGCCAUGUCUGCAACGCCAUCUGGGAGAGGGCCGACUGCUAGGAUUGAUCCUACACCCCGGGGGAAACUAACGUCAUCCUUGGUGAUGGCUGGACUCGCGGUGAUGACCGACAUGGCUCUCCCUGCCGGAUUAGGAGGAACCAACGACGAGCCGGAGUUGGAAUUGUUGCUCGCUGUGGUCACCAUCUCUUGAUAGAAUUGGGGUUGCCACAUCUGCAAUUUGGAUUUUUUCCUCUCCGUCUCAGGUGCAUGUGUGUGUGUGUGCAUACUGGCGCAACCACGUAAGGGCGUCGAUACGAGCACGAGGACAGGGAUCGUGCAGGAUAGUAGGCACUCCCGCUCUUUGCUUCUUCCCCGUUGCCAAUUAGGGUCCGCCGAUGUCAUGUUUAAAGGGGAAAUUCCUAUUCAUGGAACAUCUAUGUUAAGUCUGCAAAUUCAGUGGGUCUAUACAUGCUUUGUCUAUCCUAUAAGUAACUAGAUAUGUCUAAAUGCUUAAAUUAAUGUUUAGUGCAGCAUAGCUAAUUUGAUAAGAGCCACCAUAGGUGCUUUCUUAAAUGGUUUAUAUGUUGCAGAUAUGCACGGGUGCCUCUAACGGUGGACUCGGAGAUUCGGUGAUGCAAACUAAUUUCUAUCGGUUGCUACAAUUCUAUCAAAUAGAGUUGGUUUUUGUAUGGGUCUUUGUUUUCUAUUUAGCAUUGUAGUUUGUUUAUCGUCUUAUAUGUAGGUGUUUCUUGGAUAACUGUUAGGUGUUUCCUGCUGUUGAAUGUCAUGUCAAAGUAGCUCUCGCUAUUGUAGUAUACAUAUUGGAUUUUUCCCAGCUCAUCUCAAGCAGGUUGAAAUUGAGUGCACACAGCCCAGUUGUGUGUCACUACAAAGAAACUUCCAUAUUCAAGAAAAAAUGGUUCUGAGUGGAUUCAUUCGGAGAAAAUGAUUUUGAUUUUGGUCAGGUUUUGAGUAGAGGACAAGACAAGGUCCACAAGGAUAUGAUUACCCUGUUGGAUUGAAGAGCAUUAGGGAUCAAGAGUUAAGAUGCCAUAAAUCUGUUGAUUACAAGUAGGCCUGCCGACACACACGAGGUUCCAUCUCUCGAAUUGUAUCCAAGAGUAACUUCACGUUAGUUAAAAGGACAGCCCGGUGCACAAAGCUCUCCCGCUCUGAGCGGGGUCCGGGGAAGGGUCAGACCAACUUUGGGUUCUUAUCAAAUUGCAUUGGUCGUGUGAGUCUAGGACCAACACUUUGAAAUUUUACACUUAUCAUGGUAUCUAGAACAAGGAAUUUUUGCACUACUGAUGAUAUAUGACUUUUACUAUAGCAUUUGAACUAUAAAGAUGCAUUUCUAAUCAAGCCAUUAUUUGAACUCCAGAUUUGGAUGAUAAUUUUCUGUAGCAACUCGAUCUCCUUCUAAAAAAAGGCCUAUGAAAGUAUGAAGUUAAAUGGAACAAACUUAACCUUGUCUUUUGAAAGUACAUCUGUAAUGUGUUAUACCAGAAAAGGGCUUAAAGACUCUUGCAAUGGGUGAAACUGGCAUGCGAACUAUGGAGACAAGAAACAUUGUAUACGAAGAAAUACAUGACCAUCUGUAGAUACAUUAUAAUCUACAAACUCAUGUACGUUCACUGCUAUGCCUAUACUUCCAGUAUAUCCAGCUGGUUACUAAAUGUUUGAUGAUUAUAUUGUCUGUGUGAUGUUGCUGUCCAUUUCUGGUUUACACGGGAGUUUUUUCUGAUGGCAAUCCACUCAUUUUCAAUAUGUAUACACUAUGCACUUAGUUAAUUGAAGUCCUUUCAUGCUCCAUCACUUCGAGGAUCUGUUUUUUGCAGACAAGAUCAGAUGGCCCAAACUCAUCUCCCUGAUAGCACUGCCUUCGCUAGAGCCGCGAGCUUAUUUUCCUUUUAGCUUUAUAGUUGGUUCUGAAACACACUUAUACCUGGUAGUUUGUGCUCAAUUGUUUUGUGUUAUGCAUUUUCCUGUGUAGGUGUCCUGCCAUAUAAUCAAUCUAACUGAAUGGUUUGUUUGGCCACCACCUAAGAAUAAUAAUGAAUCACACUGACAAUUAGCCUUACUGGAUGGUAUGUUUGGUUGGUGAUGCAUGCUACAGAGGGAAUAAUUACAUGUUCGCAAACAACAUCAGUCCAAGCAAGGCUAACGGCUAUGAAAAGCUGACACGCCCUCCUACUUUGCUGUCAAUUUGUUGUCAUUAGCAUUUAUUUGCCUGCAAGACAUUUGGUCUUCUUUGUUUUUAGUCUUCUUGGUGUCCGAAUGGAAAGGAUGCUUUUCAUUAUCGCCAAUAAGAUUUCUGCAUACAUGUCUAUUUUUGCGAUUAACCAACUCUCUGAACGGUUGUUGUUUGUUGAACACCUGGUCUUAUUUUUUUACUUCUCUUGCUGUCCGACCUGAAAGCAUACUUUUCGGUAUUGCCAAUGAGGAUUCCUCAUUCCUGUCUAUGUUUGUUUGACUGCUCCUGUUGGCGAGCCCAAGAGUCUCAUGGAUGAUAGGUUUGUCUGACUGCUCCUGUUGGCGAGCCCAAGAGUCUCCCAAAUCUCUUUAUGUUGCUAAAUGGCAUGUAAACGACACAGUAUACAUUUCCCCCAUUGAACCUGCCCUAUGAAUUAUAUGUAUGUAACCACAGCUUAGCAAUAUUAGUAUCACUAGCUUAUUCGUAGUACUCCGAUGGCUUACAAGAUAAUUUGUAUUGUUUUGUUUGUAGUCUGUCUUGACAAAGAAGGUCGCCGUGUUGUUCCGGACACUUCUUGAUGGAAUCAGAGUUUGGACGGCAAAAAGAGCAAAUGGUGGAUCAGUUGUUGGAGGACGGGAAGAUCCUGAGUGUGCUCAACGACUCGGAAGGGAAGGUAAUCAACUUCAUCACUCGGUAAUGGGACUUCAACAGAUUGUUAACGUUCAUUUCUACAUCAUCUUCUUACAGAAAAUGUCUCCAUGGCACAAAGCUACUGAUGAGCUGAGAUGCAGAGGCAGCCUGGUACUAAUGAACUGAACUGAGAUAUGGAAUGACAAUAUUGGAACUAGAUCCACGAGGUGUGUAUAAAGGGAACCAACAUAUGAAAGAUGUCUAGCUGUUUUGGCUUCCUCCUUCCAUGACCAAAAGAACGUUCUCAUGUGAUAUUAACCUGUGAUGCCAUUUUCAACAGAAAAUUUGCAUUGCAAUUAGGUUGAUUUUAACGUGUAACAUAGCAUACAGGCUUAUUUCAGUGAAAUGUUUCAUGGUACUUAUCUUAA